RNAcentral lists this long non-coding RNA (258 nucleotides) under Carica papaya (papaya). RNAcentral describes it as "long non-coding RNA (CPAP_LNC002031)". Lineage: Eukaryota; Viridiplantae; Streptophyta; Magnoliopsida; Brassicales; Caricaceae. The record is from RNAcentral.
UGUUGUGUUUGUUUUAUGUGAUUACUGUUGAAUUGAAAAACUGGAUAUUAAAGCUAAAUGGAAUAUUGUGUGAUUAAGUGGAUGGACGAAACAACAUCUUUAUUAGAUAUCCUGAGAGGUGGUGGACGGAUCAGGUACAUAGGGAACCCUAUCGUAAACGUUGCCUUAUAUCGGACGAGAUAUCGAAGUUUGGUAAUUUGACGCUCAUACCGGAUAGGGUAUGGGGACGGUCCGUUUCACCCUCAUAGCGGACGAGGU